RNAcentral lists this ribosomal RNA (775 nucleotides) under uncultured Neocallimastigales. RNAcentral's name for it is "partial large subunit ribosomal RNA". It matches the Rfam family "Eukaryotic large subunit ribosomal RNA", at positions 22 to 640 of the family's 3401-position model. The record is from RNAcentral. Lineage: Eukaryota; Fungi; Neocallimastigomycota; Neocallimastigomycetes; Neocallimastigales.
CAUAGCGACUAUCGUGGCAUAUCAAUAAGCGGAGGAAAAGAAACUAACAAGGAUUCCCCUAGUAACGGCGAGUGAAGCGGGAAGAGCUCAAAUUUGAAAUCUUCAAGGGUUUCCCUUGACGAAUUGUAGUUUAAAGAAGUGUUUUCUGUUAGAGAGGUGGUAAAAGUUCUUUGGAAUAGGGCAUCAUAGAGGGUGAGAAUCCCGUAUUUGAUCACUUUCUACUAACGUUGUGAUACACUUUCAAAGAGUCGGAUUGUUUGGGAAUGCAGUCCCAAAAUGGGUGGUAAAUUUCAUCUAAAGCUAAAUAUUGGCGAGAGACCGAUAGCGAACAAGUACCGUGAGGGAAAGAUGAAAAGAACUUUGAAAAGAGAGUUAAACAGUACGUGAAAUUGUCAAAAGGGAAGCGUUUGACACCAGUGUUGUUUUUCCGAAAAUCAAUUAUGAAUGGCUUGAUUUUAAGUUUCAUGACCUUAAAAGCUUGUUUCUUAUUUUUCAUGUCUUUCGUAAUGCACUUUUCGGUUAACAAGUCAACAUCAAUUUCUUUUGUUGUAAAAGGUUAAGAGGAAGGUGGCUUUACUUUCGGGUAAAGUGUUUAUAGCCUUUUAACUCUGCAAUCGGAGAGAUUGAGGUCUGCAGCGUAGAUCCUUCGGGGUUAGAUACAUUUGUGCUAAGUUAUAGCUUUUCAUAGACAACUUGUUGACUAUGUUAAGUCUUGUAAUUUACUCGCAGAUGCUAUUUUACCUACGCUUAGGAUGUUGAUAUGCAUGACUGAUAU